UUGUGAGGAGCACAGCCCCGGGCCUGUCGGUGGGAGCAGGCCCUGCAUAAAGCCGUCUGUUGUGGGGGAUGCCACCCGCGAGCCCCCGCAGGAGCAGCUGCAGAAGCCCUGUUUUUCACGCCUGCCAGCAGGCAAACCCUCUCCUAGAAUCUCCGGCGCGGUGCUAAAGCCCUGCCGGCUGUCGCUACCUGUGCCAGCCACCCCGGGACACGGCACAUGCUGCAAACACCUUUUUCUUUGACGGCGCUGGCACUUCAUCUGAGCCAGGAUAAAGAGGGCGCGGCCGGUUUUCAAGUCUGCUUUGAGACUACAAUAAGAGCUCCUUAUGGGUUUAAAAUUACCAUUCUGCAAUACUGGCAAACCAUUACCUCUUCCAGGAAAGCUGCUUUGUAGUACUGCAGGAAAGUUAUCCCUCUGGUGUUGUAAGCUGCACCAACAGCAUUGCAGUCCUGUAUUCCUGACCGGAGGCUACUUCAGCAAGGGAUUGAAUGACUUCAUGACCUUGAUGGAUGCACAGAUGCUGCCAGAGGUCAGAGCCAUCCCAGAGCGGUUUGCUCACCAAUGGACUUCAGCUACACCAGCACAGAGUCUCCAUGUCUACUGGGGAGGGGUGACAGACCCCAAAGUCCUGGAGCUGUUGUAUCUCAGCACACAAUUGCAAAAGAAGGAAUGUGAUGUGCUUCUAGCAGUGCAGCAGAAGAGAGGAAGCUGCAGUCCCCCAAGGUUCCCUGCCCACUUAAAGACCAUGUUCACAUCAGGAUACACCUGCUGAGUUUCCUGCUGUGAACAUCUGACAGGCAGCUGAUACCAAAGGACAGAACCCAGGGAGCAGAGAGCCAAAGAAUGAAAGAGAAGAGAUGCUGGACAGAGAAUCCUACACCUUGUCUAGCAAACGAAUGCAAAUGCCUCACCUGCCCUUCUGACUCAGCUCCUUCCAUGGACAACAGACCUUUAUUUACUGUGGAUGAGGUCCUGGAAGUAUUCUGUUAAUAUUUUAGAGCAUCUGUGGAUGCACACAGAUGCAUCAACAACACCUUGCUCAUUCAUGUAAUUUGACUUUAUUUUUACUUACUGAAGGCAUUAAAAAAUUAACCCAAGCAGCUGUUCAGAUGCUUCUAUUUUUUUUAUGCAGCAAAGGGAAAAAAAAGUGUGAACAGCUGUGUCAGUGGAACACAUCCAGGUGGCAUCCCUAAGGCAAAGUUUCUACAAAACCUAUAAGAUAAUGUUUUUACUAUCUUAGUUAUUUUAUUUCUUUUUUAUUACGUUGCUCUUGUUGAUUCUUAAAGAGGUAUGAGCUACUUAUUUCUUCACCCUCGUCCCUCUGUGUUUGAGCUGUGCUGUAGCUCAACACAGAUGUUGCAGUGAUUCAGCCAUCAAAAGGGAAAAUCACCCUUUCAGCAGAAUCCUUCUGAAUCUGUUCUGGGGUCUUAAAUAGGGUGUAUGUCUGGGUAAGGAGCAAUUUUACAUAUCUGGCCUUUCUAUGGGGAGAAACUCAAGAUGUGGCACCAAAAAUUGCCUUAGGGACACUCAAGAGCAGAGGGAAUUUGUUUUCCGGGUUGUAUAACUAAGUCAGCUGAGAUGUAGUUUUGUUGCAGUUCCUUGACAAGAUAGCUGGGUCAUCCUCAAGGAGAAGCUAAGACUCACAAUUACACAAGAGUCUGAAAGAGCAGCUGUUUGGGACUCCAACAUGUGUAGCAUUGGGGAUUUGGAAAUCACUGGUCAAAUUCUCAGCUGGGUGAUGCUGAAAUCUGUAUCAGGUUCACUGACAAAGACUCAUGAAGAAACUCCCUUACUGAAGUUCUGAAUUCCUCAGCUGGAAUCCCAGAAGUCUCCCAUUCUGCAUAGAGUAAAUUUCAGCUUUCUAAACUCUGGUGCCCUUUCCAUGCAUUUACUCUCAUGUCUCAACCAUGAGAGGCUUCCAGACACCAGCUCCAAGCUCUGCAUUUCCUGGAACCACACUCCCAAUGUGCCCUAGGCCAUCACACCACAGUCCAAACCCUACACCCUGCCCAGUCAUCCAGGGCUCAUCUGUUUGGUGCCUUCCAUACAAACCCUCCUAAGAAUGCGAUUCUGUUGCUAUAAGGCAGCUUGCUGAAUUAUGGAUGUGCUAUCCAUAAACUGAUGGUUGGUAUUUUCUGCCCUGACAUCAGUCCUUGGAUUAUCAACUCUGCAGAACAAAGUGAAAACACUGAAAUGUCUGAAAAUUGCCAGCCACAUCACAGGUGUUACAGGAAAUUAUAUUCACAAUAACGAAUAAUAAUAGCAAGGACAACUGUAAUGAUUAAGCAAUUUGUUGCUGUUACUAUUCUUUCUCUUAUUCCCACAAUAUUUGACAAAUAUGGGCUCUCCAGAGAGCUCUUGAGACUGAAGAAAUGUUUUCAGGAGACACAGAAUGCAAAGAAAAGUGUUGCUUUUCAGCUUAUAGCAUAAUGAUAGUAGAUAGAUAAAUGCCUGAAAUCUGUUUCUAUACCACUAAGAGUUUUGUUUGUUUGUUUUUUAAAUUAGCUUGAGAAACAAAUUAUGUAAAAGUAUCUGUACAGUCCUGAGAAGGACUGUCUUCCAGAUGAAAGCUCAGCAGAAUCAUCCCUGAGUCUAAAGGAAAAUUUCAUUCUCUAAAUCAUUCCCCUUUGGUACAUUCUCUUCAUAUUUAGUAGGUGGAUGCAAUACCCUCUAUAUGUACUAAGCUUGUGUUAUUACAGUUUGAGCACGAUAUAUGUUUAUUUGGAGUCUAACAAGAUCAUCAAUCAGGAAAUACCACUGCACUUCAUAUUAUGUAUUUAUUUAUGGUGUUAGGAUGAAAUUUACCUGGGUCCAGAGAACAAAAUUAGGCUGUUACAGCCCUUGGUUUCAUAUAAGUUAUUUUCCUCUCAAUGCCUAUGCCCUGUGGACACAAAUUUAUUUUUCCAAUACUAGAUGAAAAAUCUCCCAUUCUUUCAUUGCCUCCAGGUAAUGAUGUCUAUACCUUUCCUUCUGCUUCCAAUUUUGUGUCCAUUACUUGAAUGCUUGAAAACAUGAAAUACAAUACCAUAAGUCACAGAGCAAGAAAAUCUGCAGUGUUUAGGGAAUAUUUAUCUUCCUUUUCAAUACUUUUGUAAUUAAAGAAAUUCUAGUCAAUCAUUUGAUAUCUUCAGUGACAUUACCAUACUCCUGAUCUUAAACUUGGGUGCUGGUUAGCCAUUAGAAAGAAGGAAUAUUUUGCAGACAGGUUAUGGGAUGCAGAUUUGGAAAAUCUCAGUUCUUCUCCGAAGUAUGUCACACACUGAGCAAUGAAAGAUGACUUUAAAUGGAAUGUGUACUAAUAAAUGUAAAUAUGAAAGUGGAAAAUUACAUCACAAUACGAGAGCUCAAUGUAGUUAAUCAUAACAGUAAUUAUCUUAAAUAAUACUAAAAAUAUCAGUGAAAAACAUUGAGAGACCUUUGUUAAGUGUCCAAAUGUGUUCUGAUUGCUGUAUUUGACAACUCUGCAAGAACUUAAGUCUCAGAGACUUGGAAUCUCCAUGAGAUUAGAUAGUAUUUGCAUACAAAAUGCAGGAGUGAAGUUAAAUGAACAAAUGGCAAGUUUAUCUCAAAUAGAAGUGUUAUAAAACCAUUAAGCAUGUAAAAGUUGAUUCAGUUAAUUGGCUAAGGCCCAGUAAAGAUUUCACAACACUAUCAGCAGGGUGUUGAAAUACUUAAAAAAAAAAAAACCCAAAAAAAAAACCCCAACAAACCAACAACCCAGCAACUAACAGCAUGAUUUCAGAGAAGCACUGCCAUUUAAGAAACACUCUCUUCAGUAUUUAUUAGAAGAUAAGAAACUGUUUAUCAGCAUGCGCGUAUGUUCUUCCUGGAAUCAAGGUCCAUGCAAUUUAUUUCACAUGCAGCAAUAUUCUCUCAGUGCUUUGCAAUUUUUCCAUGCUCAAGUACCAGGAAAAGUGGAAGGAAGAGGUAUAUACCGUUACAAAGAAGUAUAUGACAUUUAUAUUUACUUAGUGAAUUGUGCUAAGAUAGACAUGCAAUCACAGUGUAAUGAGUUAACCAACAGGAGCUCCUGGCACUUCUUGUGCAGAGAGGAAAAAAAAAAAUCUCAUAGGAACAUGGAUGGUUAGGAAUGUGUCAAAGCAGGGACACAAGGAAAGGUAGCUCAUACAGCUACUGAUACAAAAAAAAAAAAUUAACAUUGUGAAAUAAAAUAAAUAAAAAUGAGGUGUAACCUAUGUAAAGCAAAGGAAAGAUCUGCUCUGAACAUCCAGUAAAACUCCAGUGUAGUUGUACUGAUCCUGCAGCAACCUUUGAAACAGAACGUUUCUGAGUUUAUGCUCCCUCGUGUAUCUUUUCUUAGGAAUAGUCUGGCCAUCUAGGAAAUAUUUCACUCUACCUUCCAGCACACACAGAAGUUUGAAAACAAUGCAAAUGUAAAUAGUUCCUGAUGCCAAACACUCCAGUUGCCAAGAAGAACUGAUGCAUUUUGUACCAGGGUUAUAUUACGACCAAGAUUAAUUUUUGGAUUGUCUCCGGCUAUUCUUUAACAAAAACACCUCUUGAUGAAACACAACUUGCAACUCACGGGUUUUGUGUAUUCAGGGGAACUUUUCACAACAGCUGAUUUACAGUGUUCAUGCAGAACAAGCUGUACUGUGACUUGCUUUUAAUCCAGCUGUCAGAUAUUCCAGAGGUAACAUCGUGGGAGAGGGGACCAGGUUUUUGAAGAUGAGCCUACUCAGUGAUAAAGAUCUUAUGGAAAACCAGAACAAAACCAAUCAAUGAAUAUACCCUAAAUUCUCUUAACAAAAGGGAAAUUUCUCACCAUUAUGAUAUAAGCAACUAUUAUCCAGUAAGAAUUGAGGCCAGGUCUCAAGUGAUAUUUCACAGCACGAGUUACACGAUCAGGUCGCUUGGUGCAACUGCACUGAUUGACUGGUCACACAUGUGCUUGCAAUGUCUCUAACCAGGUCUGCUCUCUUGCUUUGUAAAAGAAGUCAACCUCCAUUAAAAAUAAACCACUUAAUAUAUCUACAUUUGUAUAUGGAGAUUCGUCAAUGUUCAAAAACAACUACUAUAAAUUCAAAGAUGAAUUUUGGAAUCAAAUCAGGUAUCAUCAAAAUACAAACCUAAGAAAAAGUAAAAGGGAAUAAAAGAAAAGAAGGAAGAACUGACAAGUGGUAGAGAAACAGUGAGAAAAUAUUGGGAAUGUGUUAGAUUAUUAUCAGAUGGAUCUUUCUUUGCAUCCAGUUUUAGUUACUUUUGGGAAUAGCAUGUGACCAAAAUUUGCUUAUGGCUGUCAUAUCAGAAGAAUCAUUUGAGCUUUGUAGAUUCCUACCAUGUCAAAAUCUUUUGAUUAGGAAUUUCCCUGAGUAAUGUGGCAGCCUCUCCUUCCAGCAGCCAAACAAUAUUUGUCUGAGUCGAAUGCAGUUUACAAGGCUUCAGUCAUUAAGCAUGACUGAGCUGACCAAUCACACCACAUGAACACCGACUCAUCACCCCUAAGUGAUGUCAAAAAAUAACCACAUCAAGUAACCCAAAACCUCAGAAUCUGGAACAGUGGGACUGAAAAACUUCGG
Long non-coding RNA from Passer domesticus (house sparrow), 5540 nucleotides. RefSeq lists it as uncharacterized. NCBI's taxonomy places the organism in Eukaryota, Metazoa, Chordata, Aves, Passeriformes, Passeridae. The record is from RefSeq and is a predicted model, not a curated record. The transcript has 4 exons.